Long non-coding RNA from Homo sapiens (human), 5495 nucleotides. RefSeq lists it as uncharacterized. The record is from RefSeq and is a predicted model, not a curated record. The transcript is spliced from 6 exons. Lineage: Eukaryota; Metazoa; Chordata; Mammalia; Primates; Hominidae.
CCUCCCAAAGUGCUGGGAUUACAGGCUUGAGCCACCGCGCCCGGCCUCUACUUUGUCUAAGAGUUUUAAUUAAUGGGAGUGCAUUUAUUUAUAUAUAAUUAUCUCUUCUAAUUACUGUAUUGCUGCUUUUCAUACAAAAUCUUUAAUCACUUUAUGUCUCAGUAAAAUGGAUUUUACCUACUUUAUAAUUAUCAUUAAAGUUUAAUAAUUUAAUAUAUAUACAAAUCAUAGAGCACUGCUUGCACAUGGUAAAUGCUAUAUAAGUGAUUGUUAUUGACAUAAUUCAACUUUCAAUAUUUUUAAAAUUUCACAGCAAUUUUUUUCUCUGACCUGUGAGGUACUUAGAAGUGUUAUUCCUAAUUUCCAAAAACAUAUUUCUCUAGCUAGCUGUUCCUCAACUUAUCAUGGGGGCUACAUCCCACAAUAAACACAUGAUAAAGUUGAAAAAUUGUAAGCUGAACCAUCAUAAGUCAGAGACUGUCUGUAUAUGUUUUCAAUAGUACCUAUUUAUUCACUAUUAAUUUUUGAUUUUACUUCAUGGUGGCCAAAAACAUGUAUUUUCUAAAAUACAACCUGAAGAGAUUUGUCAAAGUUUGCAUAAUGGGCUAAUAUGUGGAUGAACUAUCUUACUGUUGCAUCUUAAAACCCAUGUGUGCUUGGUGCUACAUGUAUGUAUUCUUUUGUUGUUAAAAGCACUGUUCUAUGGAUUUCUUUUAAAUUAGUCUUACUAAUUAUGCUGUUCAAAUAUUCUAAUUUUUGAAAUAUACUUUUCUAUCAAUUAUUAUAGAGUAUGGGUAAAAAUCUACUAUGAUUGUGGAUUUUGUGGAUUUGUGCAUUGAUCCUUUAAAUUAAAUGAAUGUUGGCAUUAUAUAUUUAAGUCUGUGUUAUUAAGUUUAUACAAGUUUAAAUUUGUUAUAUCAUCUUUCUGAAUGGCAGUUUAUCAAUAUCUCAUUACUUUGUCAGGUCUAUACUCUUUCAAUACAAUUAAAACAGCUUUUUAAGUUUUCACAAAUAUUUUUCUGGUAUAGAUUUUUUCAUCCUUUUGUUUUCUACCUUUUGUAUUUUUAUGGUUUUAAUUGUCUCUUCAAAAUGGCUUAUAGCUUUCAUUUUUUCUUAAUCCAGUUUGAUAAUUUCAGACUUUUAUUAGAGUAUUUAGUCUAUUUGCACUAAUUGUAUUUAAGGAUUUAUUUAGAUUUAUUCCUAUCAUUAUUUUUUAUAUUUUCUUCUUUUGUAUAUUGCUUUUUCUCUUCUCUUUUGCUUUAUUUGGAUUGAUUGAGCACUUUUCAUUCAUUUGAUCAUUUCCUCUAGUAGUAGGGAAGUGGUUUUUGUCAUGAUAGACUCAGGUAUACUCGGGGUGGUGGUUCAAACCAAGAUACUUUUGUGAAUGGGAGGAUCCACUGUUCAUAAUUAUGCUAGGAACAAACCCUGACUGUUCUGUGCACACCACAAAAUAUAUCAGCUUUAAAUACACAGCAGUAAUAAACAACCUUAAAGUAUCGGUAACUGAGCAACAACAAAAAGUGUAUUUCUCAUUCCGGCUACAUGCCCAUUGAGAGUCAGCAGGACAGGCUCUCCAGGUCAUUGUUUUUGAGGGACCCGGCCUGAUGUACGCUCUACCUUACCCCGUGAUUUUAUGACCUCGCAGUAGUGGGAAGUCAAAAUCACACGGUGAUUUUGGCAGUGCUCUCCCAUGAUGUAAAAUAUGCAUGGGGUAUCCAAAUGCAGGAGCUGAGGAGAUUUAAAUAACAAAAGACUUCUAAAAGGAGUCCUGAAAAUAAAAUUUAGAGUGAAACAUUUUUUGUUUGAGAGUAGGUAAAAUGAGAGUAGGUUAUUUGAUUUAAUAGUGGUCUCUUUGGAUCUCUAAAAAUCUUUGCAUGUGCAUUCAAAAAGUAAAUAGAAAUAGUAAAUGCCAGUUGAUUGAAAAUCAUGAUACUUUUGAGAUGAUACUAAAUUUUUACAAUAUGAUAUAAAUCAGAAUAGUGUAGACAGCCAAUUUACAUAAUUCAACCCCAGAAAAUUAACUACAUACAUUCACUAUGUAAUGACUUAAUUCACUUAAGUUGAGCCAAGUGUCAUAAAUUUGCAAUGAACAUUUUUACUUUUUAAAAAAUGAGCUAAUUUUAGAUUUGUCACAGAAAACUACUAUUCAUUGACAUCGCAAAUUGGAAUUAUUAACAGAAAAGCUCAUUUCAAAUAUGGAGAACAUAAGAGAGUGUAGUGAUUGGGAUGUGUUCUCAACAUCAAACUGUAAGAAGAAAAUUUAAUAGCCAGAACUUGAGAAAAAUAUAAUGGGCUACCCGAUGAAUCACUUGGCAGGAAUAUUAUCAAUGGAAUUAAAUAAUGGCCUACUGUCAGUUUAAUUCAAUCAUCUCUUUAGUUAGUAUAUCAAAUUUCAUUCGUAUAUUAUGAGAGGUGAUGCCAUCAUUUUAUCUGCCUGUCUCAUUCUGACUAUAGAAUUUGAGCAACUUCACCAUUCUUCGUUCUUGUUUUGAUGGUCAAAGUUGCUGAAUAAUUGCUUCUUUCCUCCUUUGUGUGUCUUAGGACAAAUACAGCACAAUCUCAGAGUUAACUUAACAUCCAAACUGUUAUUACAUUCUCUGUCCUCAGUUAGUUGGUAGAAUUAUAAUCAGUUAAAAACAGAUUUAAAAAAAAACAGCUUUUACUGAACAUGGAUAUAUAGCAGUGCUACUUUAUAAAAUAAUAGUGUGGCUAAUAUAAUGGCAUUUAUUUAAACAAUUAUUGAGAUUAUUUUUCUCAUCUCUCCUCAUUUUCUGACCUGAGAAAUACAGUUCCAAGUUCACGAGUGAAUGUAAAUGAAGAAACAGGGAAAGCAUUUUAGAAUUUCUUGAAAUCUGGCACCAGGACUGAUUGUACAUAUGUAUAUAUACACUCAUGCAUGUGUGUGCCUAUGUAUGUGUGCAUAUGUGUAUACGUAUGUGUGUAUGAAUAUAUGUAUUUAAUCAUCAUGGGCUGGUAUAUCUGGUUAGAACAAAGUACAAGUAAACCCCAAGUAAUGAGUAAGAUUCCCUCCAGAUCCAGCUAAUUAUUUGAACAUACCCUUUUCAUCACAGCACGUCACUGCUGCAAACAUUGGAAUGCUUUCCCAUGGUUUACUAAACAAAGUACAAAGCUGUCUGACAAUGCAGAUCACAGCAAAGAUCCAAGUGAUGCAUGCCCUUCGGCAGGAUCUUCCCCACCCUGGGUCUCAGUUUUAUCUUCUAGAAAAUACACGUUCAAGAGUGAGAUUUGCAGCUUCCUCCCUGCUCAGACCUCAUGAUUUUGACUGUGAAACCCAUUCAUAUAACUUCAUUAUUCUUAUUCCCAUGUGAGAAGAUGUUUUUUCUCAUGUGCAGGCUGUUUACUAAAGGGCCACACAGCAUGUUACCUUCAAUCCGUAGACAUUUCUGGGAGUCAGCUGCGUGCACUGCAGUUGAAGAUGAGAACUAUUGAAUGCUUACCCAGUGCCAGGCCUGUGUCUCCACGCCUCUCGCCUGUCCCCCCUUAGCACCCUAUGAGGUCGACACUGUGGUCACCCUCCCUUGGCAGGUGCAGAGCAGAGGUGAGGAGGGUAAUGACUUGGUUGGCCUGUCUGACUCGGAAGCGCUGUCUUGCUCACCUCCAGUGUGCUGGGACAGCAGCACAGGAACCACCUCAGAGGUGCUCUGGAGAGAGUGACCAGCACCCACCCUUCCAUGCUGCCAGGGGUUCUUCGAUGUGUCCAGUCUUCUCCUCCCAGCUGCGGGCCUCGAGCAUUUAUCUAAAUGUUUCGCCUCCUUCAGACCCUACCUUGCUUUCUCCUCUCCCACUGUGGGUGGGCUGGCCUCCUACCCCCUGAGAAAAUCAAGGACAGUGAGGAGGAGUGCUGUGGACUUCCCCUCUUUAUCUUCAUCAGCUGCACGGGCAGCUGUGCCUUCCUGCUUUGCCCUGGUCUCCUGGUUAUGAAAGCCAAAUCCCCCACGCAGCUGAGUCCCUUUCCCUCCUGCCUUCUUAUGCUCCUGCACUGUCCUCAACUCCUAUCUCUCUUUAUGUUCAGCUGACCCCCCUCAUCCCUACCCUUCGCUUCACACGCCAUUGACAUAGUUGAGCUCACUCCACCUCGAAAAGCCUCUCCCUGAACUCUGAAUAUUCUCUAGCACAUGUGUGUCCACCUCCAUUUGCAGACAGUCCUGUUCUGUGCAGUUUCUUGUUCCUGGCCUUUAGCCCUAGUGAGCCCCUCCUUCAGAUUUUCCUCUCUUAUUUGUCUAUCAAAACAUUCUUCCCCUCAUAACAGGUGCCCCUCCCUCAAUGAGUUCACCAGUGUCAAAACACCUCCCACACCUUGGAGUAACCAUAAGAUUACUUGCUUCUCUCUCCUACUGAACUUUUAGUGUUUUGAGGAUGGAGACCUUGCCAUAGCACGGUUCUACCUUCCAGCAGUACCAGGCACCUGGAGUCCUGGGCCAUAUUCAUUUCAUGCCCCUAUAGAUGCUGAUUAAAGGCCUUUCCCUUCCCAAUCCCCUGCUAAACUCCAACACAUUCUUGCAGACCCAGGUCAAGUCUCUUCUAUGUACCUUCUGAAAACCUACUCAGUGGAAAUCCUUACUAUUAUUACUAACAUCACUUUUUGCACUAUUUGUCCUCUUGAUCUUUCUCUUAGUGGUUUGUGAAGUUUUUAUAUAUUGCUGUUUUUAUGUCUCCAGGACCUGAAACUGUACUAGGUACAUGGUAGGCACUCAACAAAUAUUUAUUGAAUGAAUGGAUCAAUCAACCAAUCAAACUAUGCAAAAUAAAGAGCAUAAGACUGUGAGAGAGGAGACGAAAGCCUGGCUGGGAGGGAAAGGCCAUAAGGAGUAAUAAGAUAGGAAAGUGUUAGGGUGUGUGGGAGAUCACAAAACAGUAUUUUCAGCGGUCUCCGUUGAGAGUUGACAUCUGCUUUUCCACCCCUCGAAUCUAGGUUUGGCCUUGCAACAGAUGGACCAACAGAACACUAGGAAACACGAUUCAAGUAGCAUCUUGAAAUGUGAUCCUGCAUUGGGGGUCCCCUCUCUUCACUGCACCCGGAACUUCCUCCAAGAAACAGUGGUCUGUGUGGGCACAAAUGAGCUACAGCACGUAUAAGUCAAUGGGAAGAAAGGAAAUGCUCACUAUGCUAGAAGUGACAGUAGAAACUUCCAUUGUGUGUGACUGGAGAGGCACAAAUGAAGGGCAUCUCCCAAACAGGCUUCAUCUUUUGGGAGUGUGAGAGGAGUGACAGUUUAAGGAGGCUUCACAGGCGUCCAUACAACCACAGGAUGAACAGCCUUUUAGAAGUUACUGUUGCCCUUCCAGGAAGACAAGUUUCAUUGCCUGACCCUUUUGUUUCGCCCCAAACCAUCAGGAUAACUGAAAGCCACUCCAACAUGUUGAUUGGGGUAGCCGAGGAAUGAUGCAGACCAGAGCAUCAGAGUAGGUGACAGGCAUUUGACAGUGGACACCCAAAAAAGCACUACUUACAAUAGCAAAAACUUAGAACCAAU